Molecule: ribosomal RNA, 688 nt
Filed under: Malassezia furfur
Lineage: Eukaryota; Fungi; Basidiomycota; Malasseziomycetes; Malasseziales; Malasseziaceae
Description: partial 26S ribosomal RNA
Rfam family: Eukaryotic large subunit ribosomal RNA
Source: RNAcentral
UUUUUUUCUUGCUUUUUUGGAUUCCCCCCUAAAAAGGGUGGGCGCGAAAUUUUCCUUUUUUUAUCAAGGGGUUCCCCUAGUAAUGGCGAGUGAAGAGGGAAGAGCUCAAAUUGAAAGCUGGYMCYKCCGGUAUCCGCGUUGUAACCUCGAGACACGUUUUCCKUGCGGCGCUAUGGACAAGUUCCUUGGAACAGGAMAUSGUAGAGGGUGAAAAUCCCGUACUUGCCAYGGAUGUACCGUGCUUUGCGAUACGUGCUCUWAGAGUCGAGUUGUUKGGGAUUGCAGCUCAAAAAUGGGUGGUAGACUCCAUCUAAAAGCUAAAUAUCGGGGAGAGACCGAUAGCGAACAAGUACCGUGAGGGAAAGAUGAAAAGCACUUUGGAAAGAGAGUUAAAAGUACGUGAAAUUGUCGAAAGGGAAGCGCUUGAAGUCAGCCAUGCCGCUCARGACUCAGCCUGGCUUUUGCUUGGUGUAUUUYCYGGGGUAGCAAGUCAGCAUUGGUUUUGGAUCGUCGGARAAGCAUAGUCRGAAUGUGGCGCCCUCGGGCGUGUUUAUAGCCUUCUWUGGAUACAYRUWMGAYCWAGSAACKCASCGCGCCUUAUGGCGGGUCUUCGGACACCUUCGCGCUAAGAAGCGGGGGAAAUAGUAGGAGAGGGGUUAAACCCCCCCCAGGGUCCCCCUUAAAUAUA